Molecule: ribosomal RNA, 245 nt
Filed under: uncultured bacterium
Lineage: Bacteria
Description: partial small subunit ribosomal RNA
Rfam family: Bacterial small subunit ribosomal RNA
Source: RNAcentral
AGAAUCAACGCUGGCGGCGUGCCUAACACAUGCAAGUCGCACGAGAAAGGGACUUCGGUCCUGAGUAAAGUGGCGCACGGGUGAGUAACACGUGAAUCAUCUACCUCCGAGUGGGGAAUAACCUAGAGAAAUCUGGGCUAAUACCGCAUAACACUUACGAGUCAAAGCAGCAAUGCGCUUGGAGAGGAGUUCGCGGCCGAUUAGCUAGUUGGCGGGGUAAUGGCCCACCAAGGCGAUGAUCGGUA